This 443-nucleotide ribosomal RNA is filed under the name uncultured bacterium. RNAcentral's name for it is "partial 16S ribosomal RNA". It matches the Rfam family "Bacterial small subunit ribosomal RNA", at positions 338 to 795 of the family's 1533-position model. The record is from RNAcentral.
CCUACGGGAGGCAGCAGUGGGGAAUAUUGGGCAAUGGGCGCAAGCCUGACCCAGCAACGCCGCGUGAAGGAAGAAGGCUUUCGGGUUGUAAACUUCUUUUCUCAGGGACGAAGCAAGUGACGGUACCUGAGGAAUAAGCCACGGCUAACUACGUGCCAGCAGCCGCGGUAAUACGUAGGUGGCACGCGUUAUCCGGAUUUACUGGGUGUAAAGGGAGUGUAGGCGGGAAAGCAAGUCAGAUGUGAAAACCAUGGGCUCAACCUGUGGCUUGCAUUUGAAACUGUUUUUCUUGAGUACUGGAGAGGCAGACGGAAUUCCUAGUGUAGCGGUGAAAUGCGUAGAUAUUAGGAGGAACACCAGUGGCGAAGGCGGUCUGCUGGACAGCAACUGACGCUGAGGCGCGAAAGCGUGGGGAGCAAACAGGAUUAGAUACCCCUGUAGUC